Sorex araneus (European shrew) is the source of this 1055-nucleotide long non-coding RNA. RefSeq lists it as uncharacterized. Lineage: Eukaryota; Metazoa; Chordata; Mammalia; Eulipotyphla; Soricidae. The transcript is spliced from 3 exons. The record is from RefSeq and is a predicted model, not a curated record.
UGCAGGUCGGCAGUGGCGUGAAAGGGCUCCGAGCGCGUCACAGCCAGUGACGGGAGGGGGUGGCCCCGGGCCGCGGGAGGGAGGCGCGUUUCCUUGUCCUCUGCUGCAUUCCUGGUUCCGACUUGCGUUUCUCUAGACUGUUCCCGCUUGUCUGGGGGCCGCGCCUGGCGGUGGGGCCGGGGGUUACCCUGAUGCCCGGGCAGGCGAGUGGCCGACUUGCUGCUGUCCCGUUGCUCCGGCCCGUCUCUUCUGCUGACUCUGAGAAACACUCACCUCGUGACCGCGCGGGUGACGUGACCACAGUACUGUUUGUGUCGGCUUCGAUGUACAGAGUCACUGAGCCCUCCCCCUCUCACCAAGUCCAGCACUGACCCCGUCUGCCUCUGAGCCCCCCAGGGUCAGUUCUGUGCCAGGGUGGACGCUGUCCCGCUCUCUCUGUCCCCCGCAGGUCUGAGAAGCGUCCGGCCUCUUGCACGCUGCAGACGCCAGGCAGAAGGAGCCGUGGACAGUGAUAAACACGAUGGGCACCAUCAGGCUGCGGAUCGGAAGGACACAGUCAUGGGCAGAGGGGCUGAAGAAUGGAAUCCCGGCAGCGUGCAAGGCAAAUGCCCUACCCGCUGUACUAUCGCUCCAGCCCAGCAAGCUACCGGGAGUAUCCCGCCCGACGGCAGAGCCUGGCAAGCUCCCCGUGGCGUAUUCGAUAUGCCAGAAACAGUCACAACAAGUCUCACCAUGGAGACGUUACUAGUACCCGCUCAAGCAAAUUUGAUGAGCAACGGGAUGACAGUGACAGUGACAGUGACGGUGACAGUAUCUCAUGGUGAUUAAAGAAUUAUUAGAUUUAUAGAUAAAAAUCAAGUUGAAGAAAAUGUUAUUCAUAAUUAAAAAAUGUGGAAUGGACUUAUAACACAUAUAAAGACUUGAAGAGAUUUAUUACUUACAUAUCUAUUUACUAAUUUUAAUAGUUUCCUAUUGUGUCAUUAAUAGAGUUCCAGAGAUACACUAAUUAAAAAUGAGCCAUAAACUUCCCUCGCUCUGUGUGGAUAUGCAUUUCU